UUGUGAUGAGUUCUUUAGAUGACGAGUCUGAUUUGGGUUUCCCAAUGGAGACAACCAUCAAUAAUACCAUUCAUGCAUUUCUGAAU
Molecule: small nucleolar RNA, 86 nt
Filed under: Xylona heveae TC161
Lineage: Eukaryota; Fungi; Ascomycota; Xylonomycetes; Xylonales; Xylonaceae
Source: RNAcentral